CGCUUUGUGCAGUAGCAGUAUCAUAGCCAAUGAGGUUUAUCCGAGGUGCAAAUGUUGCUAAUUGAAAACUUUUCCCAAUACCCUGCCAUGAUGACUUAAAAUAAAGUCAGCACUGGCAAUUUUUGACAGUCUCCAUGGAGA
Small nuclear RNA from Otolemur garnettii (small-eared galago), 141 nucleotides. Its record names the gene U4. It matches the Rfam family "U4 spliceosomal RNA". From Rfam's summary of the family: U4 small nuclear RNA (U4 snRNA) is a component of the major U2-dependent spliceosome. The structure of U4 snRNA from yeast and human has been reported. The record is from Ensembl. Lineage: Eukaryota; Metazoa; Chordata; Mammalia; Primates; Galagidae.